This 487-nucleotide ribosomal RNA is filed under the name Enterobacter hormaechei. RNAcentral describes it as "bacterial SSU rRNA". It matches the Rfam family "Bacterial small subunit ribosomal RNA", at positions 30 to 506 of the family's 1533-position model. Lineage: Bacteria; Pseudomonadati; Pseudomonadota; Gammaproteobacteria; Enterobacterales; Enterobacteriaceae. The record is from RNAcentral.
UGAACGCUGGCGGCAGGCCUAACACAUGCAAGUCGAACGGUAACAGGAAGCAGCUUGCUGCUUCGCUGACGAGUGGCGGACGGGUGAGUAAUGUCUGGGAAACUGCCUGAUGGAGGGGGAUAACUACUGGAAACGGUAGCUAACACCGCAUAACGUCGCAAGACCAAAGAGGGGGACCUUCGGGCCUCUUGCCAUCGGAUGUGCCCAGAUGGAUUAGCUAGUAGGUGGGGUAACGGCUCACCUAGGCGACGAUCCCUAGCUGGUCUGAGAGGAUGACCAGCCACACUGGAACUGAGACACGGUCCAGACUCCUACGGGAGGCAGCAGUGGGGAAUAUUGCACAAUGGGCGCAAGCCUGAUGCAGCCAUGCCGCGUGUAUGAAGAAGGCCUUCGGGUUGUAAAGUACUUUUCAGCGGGGAGGAAGGCGAUAAGGUUAAUAACCUUGUCGAUUGACGUUACCCCGCAGAAGAAGCACCGCUAACUCCGC